This 368-nucleotide ribosomal RNA is filed under the name uncultured organism. RNAcentral describes it as "bacterial SSU rRNA". It matches the Rfam family "Bacterial small subunit ribosomal RNA", at positions 526 to 896 of the family's 1533-position model. The record is from RNAcentral.
CGAAGGUGGCAAGCGUUGUUCGGAUUUACUGGGCGUACAGGGAGCGUAGGCGGUUGGAUAAGCCCUCCGUGAAAUCUCCAGGCUUAACCUGGAAAGUGCAGAGGGGACUGUUCAGCUAGAGGAUGGGAGAGGAGCGCGGAAUUCCCGGUGUAGCGGUGAAAUGCGUAGAGAUCGGGAGGAAGGCCGGUGGCGAAGGCGGCGCUCUGGAACAUUUCUGACGCUGAGGCUCGAAAGCGUGGGGAGCAAACAGGAUUAGAUACCCUGGUAGUCCACGCCUUAAACGAUGGAUACUAAGUGUCGGCGGGUUACCGCCGGUGCCGCAGCUAACGCAGCAAGUAUCCCGCCUGGGAAGUACGGCCGCAAGGUUG